UUUUUGAUUAUAUUUAAGGUGUCGCCUGCUCCAUGCUUUUAAAGUAAAUAGCCGCAGUAUUUUGACUGUGCUAAGGUAGCAUAAUCAUUCGUCCUUUAAUUGGGGGCUGGUAUGAAGGGUAUUAUGAGGGGGUAGCUGUCUCUUGAUAGAAAUUUUUGAAUUUCAUUUUUGGGUGAAAAAGCCUAAAUGAUUCCGUAGGACGAUCAGACCCUGUGGAGCUUAAGCUUGUUAAUUUUUGAUUUAAUUAAAAUAAAUGAGAAUUAAAAUAGUUUGUGUUGGGGCGACAAAGAGUAUAUAAUUAACUCUCUUUUAAUUAAACAUUAUUAAAUGGACAGAUGAUCCUUGAAGAAAGAUUAGAAGAUGAAGUUACCCCAGGGAUAACAGCGUAAUUUUUUUGGAGAGUUCUAAUCGAUAAAAGAGUUUGCGACCUCGAUGUUGGAUUGAGAGUUUGGUAGGGUGUAGCAGUUUUAUUAAAAAGUCUGUUCGACUUU
This 491-nucleotide ribosomal RNA is filed under the name Ilyocryptus sp. TIH-2002. RNAcentral describes it as "partial large subunit ribosomal RNA". It matches the Rfam family "Bacterial large subunit ribosomal RNA", at positions 1834 to 2588 of the family's 2925-position model. The record is from RNAcentral. Lineage: Eukaryota; Metazoa; Arthropoda; Branchiopoda; Diplostraca; Macrotrichidae.